CUGUAUAUGAAUGGCAUUUUCAGUAAAGAAGACUUAAGUACAACCUUUAGCGUUGCAUGUUGCUUCUCUGCCGAUCCUUAUCUUAGUGCCUCAAGCAGUAACGACUUUGGUUUGUCUGUAUAACGCCUUUUUGGCGGUUUAAACAAUUAAAGGAAAUAUUUGAAAUGGCAAAGAUUAAAGGUCAGGUUAAGUGGUUCAACGAGUCUAAAGGCUUUGGUUUCAUCACUCCUGCUGACGGCAGCAAAGAUGUAUUCGUACAUUUCUCUGCAAUUCAAGGCAACGGCUUCAAAACUCUGGCUGAAGGCCAGAACGUAGAAUUCGAAAUUCAGGAUGGCCAGAAAGGUCCUUCCGCAGUAAACGUCACUGCGCUGUAAUUUUACAGCUCUGUUGCAAAACCCGCCAUGGUGCGGGUUUUUUGUU
Molecule: small RNA, 420 nt
Filed under: Pectobacterium atrosepticum SCRI1043
Lineage: Bacteria; Pseudomonadati; Pseudomonadota; Gammaproteobacteria; Enterobacterales; Pectobacteriaceae
Description: cspA thermoregulator
Rfam family: cspA thermoregulator
Source: Rfam by way of RNAcentral